Molecule: ribosomal RNA, 484 nt
Filed under: uncultured bacterium
Lineage: Bacteria
Description: partial 16S ribosomal RNA
Rfam family: Bacterial small subunit ribosomal RNA
Source: RNAcentral
AUUGAACGCUGGCGGCAGGCCUAACACAUGCAAGUCGAACGGCUGAACGGUGAUAGCUUCCUCAUUCAGCGGCCGACUGGCGAAUAAUGCCUAGGAACCUCCCAAUCAGCUGGUUCUAACGUCCUAAAACGGGCACUCAUACGCCAAUCCCCCAUAGGACGUACGGGUGGAAUCUUCGGAUCUCCCGCUCUCACAUGAUUCUAGGUCGGAUUAGCUAGUUGGCGGGGUAACGGCCUACCAAGGCGACGAUCCGUAGCUGGUCUGAGAGGAUGAUCAGUCACACUGGAACUGAGACACGGUCCAGACUCCUACGGGAGGCAGCAGUGGGGAAUAUUGGACAAUGGGCGAAAGCCUGAUCCAGCCAUACCGCGUGUGUGAAGAAGGUCUUCGGAUUGUAAAGCCCUUUAGGUUGGGAGGAAAAGCAGUAAGUUAAUACCUUGCUGUUUUGACGUUACCAAAAGAAUAAGCACCGGCUAACUUCGUG